UCAUGCACGAAAGCGUGGGGAGCAAGCAGGAUUAGAUACCUUGGUAGUCCACGCCCUAAACGAUGUCUACUAGUUGUCGGGUUUUAAUUCACUUGGUAACGCAGCUAACGCGUGAAGUAGCCCGCCUGGGGAGUACGGUCGCAAGAUUAAAACUCAAAGGAAUUGACGGGGACCCGCACAAGCGGUGGAUGAUGUGGAUUAAUUCGAUGCAACGCGAAAAACCUUACCUACCCUUGACAUGGAAGGAAUCCCGGAGAGAUUUGGGAGUGCCCGAAAGGGAGCCCUCACACAGGUGCUGCAUGGCUGUAGUCAGCUCGUGUCGUGAGAUGUUGGGUUAAGUCCCGCAACGAGCGCAACCCUUGUCAUUAGUUGCUACGCAAGAGCACUCUAAUGAGACUGCCGGUGACAAACCGGAGGAAGGUGGGGAUGACGUCAAGUCCUCAUGGCCCUUAUGGGUAGGGCUUCACACGUCAUACAAUGGUACAUACAGAGGGCCGCCAACCCGCGAGGGGGAGCUAAUCCCAGAAAGUGUAUCGUAGUCCGGAUUGUAGUCUGCAACUCGACUACAUGAAGUUGGAAUCGCUAGUAAUCGCGGAUCAGCAUGUCGCGGUGAAUACGUUCCCGGGUCUUGUACACACCGCCCGUCACACCAUGGGAGCGGGUUUUACCAGAAGUAGGUAGCUUAACCGCAAGGAGGGCGCUUACCACGGUAGGAUUCGUGACUGGGGUGAGUUGAGCGAAGUGAAUACGGUCGG
RNAcentral lists this ribosomal RNA (755 nucleotides) under Massilia sp. RNAcentral's name for it is "bacterial SSU rRNA". It matches the Rfam family "Bacterial small subunit ribosomal RNA", at positions 747 to 1508 of the family's 1533-position model. The record is from RNAcentral. Lineage: Bacteria; Pseudomonadati; Pseudomonadota; Betaproteobacteria; Burkholderiales; Oxalobacteraceae.